CCUACGGGAGGCUGCAGUAGGGAAUAUUGCUCAAUGGGGGAAACCCUGAAGCAGCAACGCCGCGUGGAGGAUGAAGGUUUUCGGAUUGUAAACUCCUUUUGUUAGAGAAGAUAAUGACGGUAUCUAACGAAUAAGCACCGGCUAACUCCGUGCCAGCAGCCGCGGUAAUACGGAGGGUGCAAGCGUUACUCGGAAUCACUGGGGGGAAAGAGCGCGUAGGCGGGAUAGCAAGUCAGAUGUGAAAUCCUAUGGCUUAACCAUAGAACUGCAUUUGAAACUGUUAUUCUAGAGUAUGGGAGAGGUAGGUGGAAUUCUUGGUGUAGGGGUAAAAUCCGUAGAGAUCAAGAGGAAUACUCAUUGCGAAGGCGACCUGCUAGAACAUAACUGACGCUGAUGCGCGAAAGCGUGGGGAGCAAACAGGAUUAGAUACCCCUGUAGUC
This 440-nucleotide ribosomal RNA is filed under the name uncultured bacterium. Its description in RNAcentral is "partial 16S ribosomal RNA". It matches the Rfam family "Bacterial small subunit ribosomal RNA", at positions 338 to 795 of the family's 1533-position model. The record is from RNAcentral.